AACACUACAGCUACUGGAUAUAUACAGCAACUUUUAACAGACAUAAAAGGAGAAAUUGACAAUAACACAAUAAUAGUAGGGGAUCUUAACACCCCACUUAUACCAAGAGACAGAUCAUACAGAGAGAAAAUCAAUAAGGAAAUACAGGCCUUAAAUAACACAUUAGACCAGAUGGACCUAAUUGAUAUCUAUAGAGAAUACCACCCAAAACCAACAGAAUACACAUUCUUCUAAGGUGCACAUGUAACAUUCUCCAGAAUUGAUCACAUGCUGGCCAACAAAGCGAGCCUCAGCGAAUUUAAGAAAAUUGAAAUCAUACCAAGCACCUUUUCAGACCACAAUGCUAUUAGGUUAGUAAUCAACUACAAGAAAAAAAAACUGCAAAAACUGCAAACACAUGGAGGGUAAACAAUAUGCUACUACACACCAGUGGAUCAUGGAAGAAAUCGAUGAGGAAAUCAAAAAGUACUUUGAGACCAAAGAAAACGAAAACACAACAAUCCAAAACCUCUGGGAUGCAGCAAAAGCAGUUCUCAAAGGGAGUUUUAUAG
Molecule: non-coding RNA, 551 nt
Organism: Vicugna pacos (alpaca)
Lineage: Eukaryota; Metazoa; Chordata; Mammalia; Artiodactyla; Camelidae
Source: RefSeq, a predicted model, not a curated record